AAUCUGUUAGAAGAUUUAGUCGCAAGCAGUUGUUGAAUUAGUGAGACUUCGAGAGAAAUUAAACAGUGGUAUGUAAGAUGGGAUAUGGGAAAAGAAAAAAAUGAAGGAAAUUUAUUCAUUUUCCCUAAAAGAUGUGAUGGUUGUAAUCAUUGUUGAGAUGUCAUUUUAUGUCAGGUGCACAUCUUUUUUCAUGCACACACACAAUUUUUUGUAAACUUCCCUUUCUAGUUUCAUUAUAAUCGAUGAGUAGGUAAGACAUAUCAAGCCUUUCAUUUUU
Molecule: long non-coding RNA, 277 nt
Filed under: Bos taurus (domestic cattle)
Lineage: Eukaryota; Metazoa; Chordata; Mammalia; Artiodactyla; Bovidae
Description: long non-coding RNA NONBTAT009722
Source: RNAcentral